Molecule: ribosomal RNA, 144 nt
Filed under: bacterium
Lineage: Bacteria
Description: partial 16S ribosomal RNA
Source: RNAcentral
CCUCCGGGAGGCAGCAGUAGGGAAUAAUGGGCAACAGGGGAAAAUCCGACGCAGCAGUGCCGCGGGAGUAGUGAAGGUCUUUGGGUGGUAAAAAUCCUCUUGGGGGGAGGGCAAAAUGACGUACCCUGGACGAAGNCCCCUUNC